This 479-nucleotide ribosomal RNA is filed under the name uncultured bacterium. Its description in RNAcentral is "partial 16S ribosomal RNA". It matches the Rfam family "Bacterial small subunit ribosomal RNA", at positions 28 to 523 of the family's 1533-position model. The record is from RNAcentral.
GACGAACGCUGGCGGCGUGCUUAACACAUGCAAGUCGAGCGAUGAAGCACCUUCGGGUGUGAAUUAGCGGCGAACGGGUGAGGAACACGUGAGAAAUCUGCCUUCAACUCUGGGAUAACUCCGGGAAACCAGGGCUAAUACCGGAUAUGAGCCUUGAUCGCAUGAUCGGGGCUGGAAAGUUUUUCGGUUGAAGAUGAUCUCGCGGCCUAUCAGCUUGUUGGUGAGGUAAUGGCUCACCAAGGCGACGACUGGUAGCCGGCCUGAGAGGGCGACCGGUCAAACGGGGACGGAGAAACGGCCCAGAAUCCCACGGGAGGAAGCAGUGGGGAAUAGUGGGCAAUGGAGGAAACUCUGACCCGGCGACGCCGCGUGAGGGAUGAAGGCCUUCGGGUUGUAAACCUCUUUCAGUAGGGAAGAAGCGAAAGUGACGGUACCUACAGAAGAAGCACCGGCUAACUAUGUGCCAGCCGCCGCCGUAA